AAUUAAAUUAUAAUAAUAAUAUACAUUUAUAAAUUAAUGAAUUAAUUGGUCCUUUCGUACUAAAUUAAUUAUAUUUUAAUAAGAUAGAAACCAACCUGGCUUACACCGGUUUGAACUCAAAUCAUGUAAGAAUUUAAAAGUCGAACAGACUUAAAUAAUCAAAAUCUACCCCAAAAUUUAUUCUUAAUUCAACAUCGAGGUCGCAAACUUAAAUAUAGAUAUGAACUCCCCAUUUAAAUUACGCUGUUAUCCCUAAGGUAACUUUAACUUAAAUAAAACAAAUUAAUCAAAAUUUCUUAAAUUAAAGAUUUACAAAAAUAAAGAUUAAAUUUAAUUAUCACCCCAAUAAAAUUAUUAAAAACUUUUUUAAAAUAAAAUUAAAUUUAAAUAAGUAAUCACAAUAAAGUUCUGUAGGGUCUUUUCGUCCCAAUUAAUUAAUUUAGAUUUUUUACCAAAAAAUAAAAUUUUAAUAAUUAAUUAAAUUAAAAUAAAUCCCUUAUUCAUUCAUUCAUACCAGCCCUUAAUUAAAAGACUAAUUAUUAUGCUACCUUUGUACAGUUAAAAUACUGCAGCCAUUUAAAUUUCAUAGAGCAGAACAUACCUUUAAUAUAAUCUAAAAGAAAUGUUUUUGGUAAACAGUUAAGAAUUAAAAUUGUUGAAUUCAAUAAUUGUUAUUUUUAUAUUAUACUAAUUAAAUCAAUUUAAAAAUUAAAUAAAAAAUAAAUAAAUAUUUCUAAUAAAAAAAUAAAUUAAAUAAAAUUAUUUAAAUAAAAUUUAAUUUAUUAAAAACUUAAUACAAAAUUUAAAAGAUUAUUAAAUUUAUAAAAAUAUAAUUAUAUUAAAAUAUAAUGAUUAUCCAUUAUAAAAUAAGACUUAAAAUUAAAAUUAAAAUUAAAAAAAAAAUCUAAAAUUAAAUUUUUUCUAAGAAAACCAGAUAUAAUGAAAAUCGUAUAGCUUAUAACCACUAAAAAAGAAUUUAAAAGUUUUUUUAAAACAAACAAAAUAAUUCAAAAGUAGAUCUUUUCAAUUCGGGAAAUUAAAAUAAUUUUAUUAAUUAAAUUACCCUGAGACAAAAGGUACUAAUUAAAUAUAAAUUAUUAAUAAAUAAAAAUUUUACAAAAAUUAAAUAAUUUUUUUUAAAAAAAACUAAAAUAAAUAAAUUAAAAUUAAAAAUAAAUUAUUAUUA
This 1186-nucleotide ribosomal RNA is filed under the name Singapora shinshana. Its description in RNAcentral is "16S ribosomal RNA". Lineage: Eukaryota; Metazoa; Arthropoda; Insecta; Hemiptera; Cicadellidae. The record is from RNAcentral.